This 970-nucleotide non-coding RNA is filed under the name Heliornis fulica (sungrebe). RNAcentral's name for it is "12S ribosomal RNA". It matches the Rfam family "Bacterial small subunit ribosomal RNA". Lineage: Eukaryota; Metazoa; Chordata; Aves; Gruiformes; Heliornithidae. The record is from RNAcentral.
ACAGACUUAGUCCUAACCUUACCGUUAGUUGCUACCAAACAUAUACAUGCAAGUAUCCGCACACCAGUGUAAAUGCCCACGACUUCUAAAUUAGAUUGGAGGAGCAGGCAUCAGGCGCGCAAAUUAAUUGCAGCCCAAGACGCCUUGCUUAGCCACACCCCCACGGGUAUUCAGCAGUAAUUGACAUUAAGCAAUAAGUGAAAGCUUGACUUAGUUAUGGUAGAACUCAACUCAGGGCUGGUUAAUCUUGUGCCAGCUACCGCGGUCAUACAAGAAGCCCAAAUUAACGGUAGUGCGGCGUAAAGAGUGGCGCAAUAAUAUCACGCAACUAAGACAGAGAUGCAACUGAGCUGUCAUAAGCCUAUGAUGCAUAUAAGUCCAACAUCAAGACGAUCUUAGCAAAAAAGAUUAACUACAGCCACUAAAGCUAAGGCCCAAACUGGGAUUAGAUACCCCACUAUGCUUAGCCCUAAAUCAUGGUACUCACAGUACUAGAGUACCCGCCCGAGAACUACGAGCACAAACGCUUAAAACUCUAAGGACUUGGCGGUGCCCUAAACCCACCUAGAGGAGCCUGUCCUAUAAUCGAUAACCCACGAUACACCCAACCACUUCUAGCCUAAGCAGCCUACAUACCGCCGUCCCCAGCCCACCUUACAUGAGAGAUAUAAUAGUGAGCUCAACAGCCACCCGCUAGUAAGACAGGUCAAGGUAUAGCCCAUGAAGUGGGAGAGAUGGGCUACAUUUUCUAAAAUAGAAUAUAACGGAAAGGGAAAUGAAAAUACCUUCCCUGGAAGGCGGAUUUAGCAGUAAACUGGAACAAUAAAGUCCAAUUCAACCAGGCCCUAGGGCACGUACAUACCGCCCGUCACCCUCAUCAAAAGCUUUAAAGCACAUAAAUAAUAAAAAUAGUAGCUAAAGACGAGGUAAGUCGUAACAAGGUAAGUGUACCGGAAGGUGCACUUAGAAC